CAGUGGCGAACGGGUGAGUAACACGUGGGCAAUCUGCCCUGCACUCUGGGACAAGCCCUGGAAACGGGGUCUAAUACCGGAUAUGACCUGGGAAUGCAUGUUCUCGGGUGGAAAGCUCCGGCGGUGCAGGAUGAGCCCGCGGCCUAUCAGCUUGUUGGUGGGGUGAUGGCCUACCAAGGCGACGACGGGUAGCCGGCCUGAGAGGGCGACCGGCCACACUGGGACUGAGACACGGCCCAGACUCCUACGGGAGGCAGCAGUGGGGAAUAUUGCACAAUGGGCGAAAGCCUGAUGCAGCGACGCCGCGUGAGGGAUGACGGCCUUCGGGUUGUAAACCUCUUUCAGCAGGGAAGAAGCGCAAGUGACGGUACCUGCAGAAGAAGCACCGGCUAACUACGUGCCAGCAGCCGCGGUAAUACGUAGGGUGCGAGCGUUGUCCGGAAUUAUUGGGCGUAAAGAGCUCGUAGGCGGCUUGUCGCNGUCGGAUGUGAAAGCCCGGGGCUUAACUCCGGGUCUGCAUUCGAUACGGNCAGGCUAGAGUUCGGUAGGGGAGAUCGGAAUUCCU
This 565-nucleotide ribosomal RNA is filed under the name Streptomyces sp. 384A06. Its description in RNAcentral is "bacterial SSU rRNA". It matches the Rfam family "Bacterial small subunit ribosomal RNA", at positions 93 to 671 of the family's 1533-position model. Lineage: Bacteria; Bacillati; Actinomycetota; Actinomycetes; Kitasatosporales; Streptomycetaceae. The record is from RNAcentral.